AAUAGAUACCCAGGUAGUCCACGCCGUAAACGGUGAGUGCUAAGUGUUGGGGGUUUCCGCCCCUCAGUGCUGCAGCUAACGCAUUAAGCACUCCGCCUGGGGAGUACGGUCGCAAGACUGAAACUCAAAGGAAUUGACGGGGGCCCGCACAAGCGGUGGAGCAUGUGGUUUAAUUCGAAGCAACGCGAAGAACCUUACCAGGUCUUGACAUCCCGGUGACCACUAUGGAGACAUAGUUUCCCCUUCGGGGCAACGGUGACAGGUGGUGCAUGGUUGUCGUCAGCUCGUGUCGUGAGAUGUUGGGUUAAGUCCCGCAACGAGCGCAACCCUUAUUCUUAGUUGCCAUCAUUCAGUUGGGCACUCUAAGGAGACUGCCGGUGAUAAACCGGAGGAAGGUGGGGAUGACGUCAAAUCAUCAUGCCCCUUAUGACCUGGGCUACACACGUGCUACAAUGGACGGUACAAACGGUUGCCAACCCGCGAGGGGAGCUAAUCCGAUAAAACCGUUCUCAGUUCGGAUUGUAGGCUGCAACUCGCCUACA
RNAcentral lists this ribosomal RNA (542 nucleotides) under uncultured bacterium. RNAcentral's name for it is "bacterial SSU rRNA". It matches the Rfam family "Bacterial small subunit ribosomal RNA", at positions 777 to 1320 of the family's 1533-position model. The record is from RNAcentral.